GAUGAACGCUGGCGGCGUGCCUAAUACAUGCAAGUCGAGCGAACAGACGAGGAGCUUGCUCCUCUGACGUUAGCGGCGGACGGGUGAGUAACACGUGGAUAACCUACCUAUAAGACUGGGAUAACUUCGGGAAACCGGAGCUAAUACCGGAUAAUAUAUUGAACCGCAUGGUUCAAUAGUGAAAGACGGUUUUGCUAUCACUUAUAGAUGGAUCCGCGCCGCAUUAGCUAGUUGGUAAGGUAACGGCUUACCAAGGCAACGAUGCGUAGCCGACCUGAGAGGGUGAUCGGCCACACUGGAACUGAGACACGGUCCAGACUCCUACGGGGGGCAGCAGUAGGGAAUCUUCCGCAAUGGGCGAAAGCCUGACGGAGCAACGCCGCGUGAGUGAUGAAGGUCUUCGGAUCGUAAAACUCUGUUAUUAGGGAAGAACAAAUGUGUAAGUAACUAUGCACGUCUUGACGGUACCUAAUCAGAAAGCCACGGCUAACUACGUG
This 497-nucleotide ribosomal RNA is filed under the name uncultured bacterium. RNAcentral describes it as "partial 16S ribosomal RNA". It matches the Rfam family "Bacterial small subunit ribosomal RNA", at positions 28 to 507 of the family's 1533-position model. The record is from RNAcentral.